ACAACGGAGAGUUUGAUCCUGGCUCAGGAUGAACGCUAGCGGCAGGCCUAAUACAUGCAAGUCGAACGGUAAGGUCUCUUCGGAGAUACACGAGUGGCGCACGGGUGAGUAACGCGUAUGCAACCUACCUAUAACUGGGGAAUAGCCCUUCGAAAGGAGGAUUAAUACCCCAUAAUGUUUCCGAGAGGCAUCUCUCGGUUCCUAAAACUCCGGUGGUUAUAGAUGGGCAUGCGUGACAUUAGUUUGUUGGUGAGGUAACGGCUCACCAAGACUACGAUGUCUAGGGGGUUUGAGAGGAUGAUCCCCCACACUGGUACUGAGAUACGGACCAGACUCCUACGGGAGGCAGCAGUAGGGAAUAUUGGACAAUGGGGGAAACCCUGAUCCAGCAAUGCCGCGUGAGUGAAGAAGGCCUUAGGGUUGUAAAACUCUUUCAGUGGGGAAGAUAAUGACGGUACCCACAGAAGAAGCUCCGGCUAACUCCGUGCCAGCAGCCGCGGUAAUACGGAGGGGGCUAGCGUUGUUCGGAAUUACUGGGCGUAAAGCGCACGUA
Molecule: ribosomal RNA, 553 nt
Filed under: Flavobacteriales bacterium
Lineage: Bacteria; Pseudomonadati; Bacteroidota; Flavobacteriia; Flavobacteriales
Description: bacterial SSU rRNA
Rfam family: Bacterial small subunit ribosomal RNA
Source: RNAcentral